Pongo abelii (Sumatran orangutan) is the source of this 148-nucleotide unclassified non-coding RNA. It matches the Rfam family "Metazoan signal recognition particle RNA". Rfam says of the family: The signal recognition particle (SRP) is a universally conserved ribonucleoprotein. The record is from Ensembl. NCBI's taxonomy places the organism in Eukaryota, Metazoa, Chordata, Mammalia, Primates, Hominidae.
GCCGGGCAUGGUGGCGGGUGCCUAUAAUCCCAGCUACUCAGGAGGCUGAGGCAGGAGAAUCACUUGAAUCCAGGAGGCGGAGGUUGCAGUGAGCCAAGAUCGCGCCACUGCACUCCACCCUGGGUGACAGAGUGAGACUCUGUCUCAA